GGUGGUUCUUAGGUGACACACCCUGAAAUCAGGCUCCCACCUCUCUGGUUCUGGUUGUGUCACCUGGGAACCGCA
Molecule: non-coding RNA, 75 nt
Organism: Myotis brandtii (Brandt's bat)
Lineage: Eukaryota; Metazoa; Chordata; Mammalia; Chiroptera; Vespertilionidae
Source: Rfam